GGCUCUGUGGCGCAAUGGAUAGCGCAUUGGACUUCUAGGUUCAACAUUGGAGCUAUUCAAAGCUUGUGGGUUCAAGUCCCUCCAGAGUCA
RNAcentral lists this transfer RNA (90 nucleotides) under Ameiurus melas (black bullhead). It matches the Rfam family "tRNA". Rfam says of the family: Transfer RNA (tRNA) molecules are approximately 80 nucleotides in length. Their secondary structure includes four short double-helical elements and three loops (D, anti-codon, and T loops). Further hydrogen bonds mediate the characteristic L-shaped molecular structure. tRNAs have two regions of fundamental functional importance: the anti-codon, which is responsible for specific mRNA codon recognition, and the 3' end, to which the tRNAs corresponding amino acid is attached (by aminoacyl-tRNA synthetases). tRNAs cope with the degeneracy of the genetic code in two manners: having more than one tRNA (with a specific anti-codon) for a particular amino acid; and 'wobble' base-pairing, i.e. permitting non-standard base-pairing at the 3rd anti-codon position. The record is from Rfam by way of RNAcentral. Lineage: Eukaryota; Metazoa; Chordata; Actinopteri; Siluriformes; Ictaluridae.